Molecule: non-coding RNA, 36 nt
Filed under: Trypanosoma brucei brucei
Lineage: Eukaryota; Euglenozoa; Kinetoplastea; Trypanosomatida; Trypanosomatidae
Source: RNAcentral
AUUUGAGAUUAUAUGGUUUAGUGAUAGUGAAAUUAU